UAAAGGGUCCGUAGGCGGUUUGAUAAGUCAGUGGUGAAAGCCCAUCGCUCAACGAUGGAACGGCCAUUGAUACUGUCAGACUUGAAUUACUAGGAAGUAACUAGAAUAUGUAGUGUAGCGGUGAAAUGCUUAGAUAUUACAUGGAAUACCAAUUGCGAAGGCAGGUUACUACUAGUGGAUUGACGCUGAUGGACGAAAGCGUGGGGAGCGAACAGGAUUAGAUACCCUGU
This 230-nucleotide ribosomal RNA is filed under the name uncultured bacterium. Its description in RNAcentral is "partial 16S ribosomal RNA". It matches the Rfam family "Bacterial small subunit ribosomal RNA", at positions 561 to 790 of the family's 1533-position model. The record is from RNAcentral.